UGGCGGCCUUAGCGCGGUGGUCCCACCUGACCCCAUGCCGAACUCAGAAGUGAAACGCCGUAGCGCCGAUGGUAGUGUGGGGUCUCCCCAUGUGAGAGUAGGGAACUGCCAGGCA
RNAcentral lists this ribosomal RNA (115 nucleotides) under Escherichia coli. RNAcentral also lists the same sequence under 6 other names. The record is from RNAcentral. Lineage: Bacteria; Pseudomonadati; Pseudomonadota; Gammaproteobacteria; Enterobacterales; Enterobacteriaceae.